Molecule: long non-coding RNA, 1190 nt
Filed under: Marmota monax (woodchuck)
Lineage: Eukaryota; Metazoa; Chordata; Mammalia; Rodentia; Sciuridae
Source: RNAcentral
GUUGGCAAAGAUAUAGAGAAAUGAAUACCAUGAACACCAACAGUACACUGUUGUUGAGAAUAUGAACUGAUACAGGCAUUUUUUUUAAUUAAAAAAAUUUCUUAGUUCUAAUCAGUUAUACAUGGCAGCAAAAAGCUCAUCAAUUCAUUGUGCACAUAUGAAGCCCAAUUUUUCACUUCUCUGGUUGUACAUGAAGUAGAGUCACAUCAUUCGUGCAAUCAUACAUGUACCUAGGAUAAUGAUGUCCAUCCCAUUCCACUAUCUUUCCUAACUCCAUGACCUCUCCCCCACAUUUGCCCCACCCAAAGUUCCUCCACUCAUCCUGUGCUCCCCAUGCCCCACUAUGGAUUAGCAUCCACUUAUCAGAGAAAAUAUUUGGCUCCUGGUUUUUGGGGAUUGGAUAAUUUCCCAUAGCAUGAUAUUCUCCAACUCCAUCCAUUUACCUGCAAAUGCCAUAAUUUUAUUCUCUUUUAAUGCUGAGUAAUAUUCCAUUGUGUAUAUGUACCACAUUUUCUUUAUCCAUUUAUCUGUUGAAGGGCACCUACUCUGGUUACUUAGUCUAGCUAUUGUGAAUUGAGCUGCUAUGAACAUUGAUGUGGCUGCAUCACUGUUGUAUGCUGAUUUUAAGUCCUUAGGGUAUAGACUGAGGAAUGGGAGAACUGGGUCAAAUGGUGGUUCCAUUCUAAGUUUUCUAAAGAGUCUCCAUACUGCCUUCCAGAUUGGUGGCACCAAUUUGCAGUCCUAACAGCAAUGUAUGAGUGUGCCUUUCCCCCACAUCCUCACCAACAAUUAUUUUUGCUUGUAUUCUUGAUAACUGCCAUUCUCACUGAUGUGAGAUGAAAUCUUAUAGUAGUUUUGAUUUGCAUUUCUCUAAUUACUAGAGGUGUUGAACCUUUUUUAUAUAUAUUUGUUGAUUGGUUGUAUAUCCUCUUCUGAGAAGUGUCUCUUCACCUCUUUAGCCCAUUUAUUUAUUGGGUUGUUUAUUUUUUUGGUGUUAAGCUUUUUGAAUUAUUUAUAUAUCCUGGAGAUUAGUGCUCUAUCUAAUAUGUGUGUGGCAAAAAUUUACUCCUAAAACGUACACUCUCUCUUUAUCUCAUUGAUUGUUUCUUUUUCUGAGAAAAAGUUUUUUAGUUUGAAUCCAUCCCAUUUAUUGAUUCUUGAUUUUAUUUAUUCACUUUAGAAGCCUUGUU